Molecule: non-coding RNA, 1104 nt
Organism: Pantherophis guttatus
Lineage: Eukaryota; Metazoa; Chordata; Lepidosauria; Squamata; Colubridae
Source: RefSeq, a predicted model, not a curated record
CAGAGAGCAAGAACGAAAGCCAUGGCUUUCCUCUCAGUUCACAUCCAACAAUCCCAGAACCUAUUUGUGUGGUUUACUGAAGAAGGAAUCAAGCCGGGCUAUGUUAAUCAGCCCUACCAAGAGGAGAAAGGGCAUCUGUAGAUAAUCAUUUGUUUGUGCAGCCAGAUCUCCUCUGAAUGUGGGUGUAGAAACAACUAAUAAAAUAAUAAAUAAAAUAAAAAUAAUAAAACAAGUAAUAUUCUUUUCUUCUUCAGCCUGGGCUUUGUUCAAAUUAUUAGUGGAGUUUCAGACAAAAUCUAUACGUACACGUGCAGAGAGAGAGAGAGGGAAAGAAAGAGGGAGAGAGAGAGAAAGAGAGAGAGAGGGGAGAGAGAGAGAGAGAAAGGGAGAAAGAAAGAGGAAGAGAGAGAGAGAGAGAAUUAGUGGAUACUUGUUGUGGCCCGUCAGUGGCCUGUGCAACUAGUAGCUGAUUCAACAGCGAGGAGGCUGGUGUGGUGCUGUGUCAGCAGCCUGUGCAUCUGGCACUCGAGUCAGACAAUGAGGAGACUGGAGAAGAUUUGGUGCCAGAGGCGGGGAUUCAGCCAGGGCCUUCAGAACCUCCAGAAGCUCCCAUAAGUGAAGAGGAAGAAGAAGAGGAGCCUCUUCUCGAUGCAUAGGCGCGCAGAGCUGCAAAAAAGCAGGAGUGGCUCCUCAGGAGGAGGUCUCCUCAAGAGUAAGGCUUUGGGCUAAUUGGCCAUUCCCUUAGCCUAUUUAAGGAAGGAUGAUGACUGAAGCAAUUUGCAGGGAACAACUUCGUUCACUCUCCUUUGCAUCUUGAUCUUAGUUCUCUGAAAAUUGCUCCUGGGCUUUCUGCCAACCAUAAUUUGGGCUGCAGACAUCUGCAGACAUUUCGAUGACCAACGGAACCACAGGUUCACCUGAACUGGUCUGAACCCACAGAAUCCCACCCCUGUAUGAAAGACUCAGCCAAGGAAAACAAUGUGCCUCUUUGGAGAAUAAAUUCACUAUUAUGAAAAUAAAAGGUUAUUCCUCCUGAUGAAAUUUACUUGUCCCCUGCUGGAUCUGUUUACCUCACAGCAUCAGGCAAAUAUUGCAUUGAUGGAU